GGCUGUCGGGAGUGUCUUCUUUGUCGAUCGAGGAAGGCGAAGGGGACGGGGACGGGGGCGGAAGAGGGAGCUACAUCGCCGGGGGAUACUCGUGUUUCGCGACGCCUUGCCGGAUUUGCUCGGCCAGCUCCCGGAUCUUGACCAUGCCUCGCCGGUGCAAUGCUUGUAACACGUUUGACGUUGUGUGCAAGCGUCCCAAUGUGUGUUUAUCAUCUUUCACCAUCACCAUGGGCGACGGGUGCAGGGAUGUCGUGGCUGUACCGCACUGCUUCAUAGAUCGACUCAACGACUUUGUUGAGAACUUUCUUGUUGUGCGGGACCUCAGCGGAUUUAACUAUGAUGUGUUUGUGGAGAGGAGGAAGGAUGCGACUGUUCUGUGUGGUGCUUAUUAGAGACUUUUCGCAAGGAUCCACAAGCUUAAAGUUGGCGAUAGUGUCAGGUUCUCCGCUGCUGAUUACGGGUCUGUCUUCGAAGCCGCAGUGGAAGGGCAGGGCGAUGUUAUUGGUGAAAAUGCAAUCUUAUUUGGGUUGCAGGAAGUGACCUACGAAGUUCGUGAUUUGUUCCAUUCAAUUGUUUUUACAGACAUGGCUAGUCUGCGCGAUGCCGAUGUUUCAAGGAUCUUAGUUGCUUUAUAAGAUGUUGAUCUAUAUGUCGAAUAUCAGCGCGAGUUCAUCGUUCACAGGAUGAGUGAUGUGGAUACGGCCUUAGGACUCAUGGAGUCAUGGAAAAGGAAAAAUGAAAAUAUUUGAUAUAAUGGAGUAACAGACGAUUGUUGAUGACUAGCAAUUAAGCACUACAUCUAUAAGGGGGAUACAACUGAUCAAAGAUCACGCAUGGCCUCUCUUCUUAUCAGGGGAGAUGAUAAGAUGUUUGUACUAAAAGGUGUACUAGAUUUGUGGUUGUGACCUUCGUGUUCGAUUUUUGCCCAAGUCCACUAAUCCAAAUAUCCAUUGAUUCCAUAGUUAUAAUAUAGACAGAGAGGGAGAAAGUAUAAAGAGAAAAGUUGCAGCUGUCUGUUCUUGUGAUGGAACUAUCUCUGAUGAUGAUUCAACACCGCUUGUUGUUGUCAUACUUGGAUGAAUAUCUUUGACAGUUGGAAUUUGUUUUCAUGUUUGGCUUCAGUUAUGAGAAGGAGAAAGAUAAGUGUUACUAUUAUACAUGGAUUGGCAAGAAUAGCAAGUAAUCAUGGCUACUACUUACAAAGUUACAAACCAUAUUUUGGUGUUGGUCUAGGACCUUUGUCGGUAGCUUUGCACUUCUAAAUGAAACUUGGAUGGAUUUUGUCUGCAGGCCAUAUUAAAACGGCUUGUUGACUGAGCCACCAAUUAUUUAUUGGGCUUAUGAAAUGUCAGUUAAAAUUAUAUUACAAGCGUCAUAAGAGUAUGAUGGAACAAUAGAGACUAAAGUUGAGGAUAGCACAUCCUGAAAGAGUUGAUGUUCAACUGGGUUUCAUGUGACAAACAGGGCAUCCCUCUGCAGGUUAAGCAUGCACUGAAAAACCCGUUUUCGGGGGAUGCUAGCCUAGAUUCAGACAAGCUGAAACAAUUCCAUGAUUGGCGAAUACACCACAGUAAGCGGCAGCACUGUUAUUAUUGAUGGAUGGGCAGAUUUCUGUCUCGGUCAAGGAAUCAGAAGGGACAUCGUUCUGAUGAUUGAGGUCGACACCAUGGGCGGCCUGCAUCUGUAUGUGGACAUCAUCAAUCGGUGACUGCCAGGGUAGGGGGCGUUUCAGUUGAAGAUAUAUAUGCAAGAGACAAUUUUCUGCUUUGUUUUUUUCCGAGAGUUCUAGCAGCUACCUGGGAUAUUUGUGUAUUUGACAGCAGCGGGGUUAUUUGUAACAUGAAUGCUGGAGUACUUUUUAGUAUUUGUCUUUUUUGGGUCCUGGACGGCGUCAUCAGGAAAGCUGAUUUUCUUUCGGAUGUGAUGUCCAAUUUUUUUACUUUUUGCGGUUGGGGCUUUGAGACCUGUAAUUUGGAUGCGAAUUCCUUCCGACAACUUGCACAUCAUGCACCCAUACGCCCAAGUAGGCUGUUUUGACUUGCGACAUGACUUGCACAUUGUACCAAGAGAAUGCACAAGUA
This is a long non-coding RNA of Brachypodium distachyon (stiff brome), 2081 nucleotides long. RefSeq lists it as uncharacterized. The record is from RefSeq and is a predicted model, not a curated record. Lineage: Eukaryota; Viridiplantae; Streptophyta; Magnoliopsida; Poales; Poaceae. The transcript is spliced from 8 exons.